This 440-nucleotide ribosomal RNA is filed under the name uncultured bacterium. RNAcentral's name for it is "partial 16S ribosomal RNA". It matches the Rfam family "Bacterial small subunit ribosomal RNA", at positions 338 to 795 of the family's 1533-position model. The record is from RNAcentral.
CCUACGGGAGGCAGCAGUGGGGAAUAUUGCACAAUGGGGGAAACCCUGAUGCAGCGACGCCGCGUGAGUGAAGAAGUAUUUCGGUAUGUAAAGCUCUAUCAGCAGGGGAGGAAAUGACGGUACGUGUUUAAGAAGCCCCGGCUAACUACGUGCCAGCAGCCGCGGUAAUACGUAGGGGGCAAGCGUUAUCCGGAUUUACUGGGUGUAAAGGGAGCGUAGGCGGCAGCACAAGUAUGGAGUGAAAUGCCGGGGCUUAAACCCGGACCUGCUUUGGAAACUGGGGAGCUAGAGUGCAGGGAGGGUAAGUGGAAUUCCUAGUGUAGCGGUGAAAUGCGUAGAUAUUAGGAGGAACACCAGUGGCGAAGGCGGCUUGCUGGACUGUAACUGACGUUGAGGCUCGAAAGCGUGGGGAGCAAACAGGAUUAGAUACCCUUGUAGUC